Equus caballus (horse) is the source of this 660-nucleotide long non-coding RNA. RefSeq lists it as uncharacterized. NCBI's taxonomy places the organism in Eukaryota, Metazoa, Chordata, Mammalia, Perissodactyla, Equidae. The record is from RefSeq and is a predicted model, not a curated record.
AUCAUAAACAGAUUGCCCUCCUUGGAGUAAGUUCAAGGAAUUUUCUGUCGCUCCUGCCCACGGAUUUGAACGUUCAGAAUGAAUUAAGUCUAAGCAAUUUUUAGAAAACUUCUACAUCCUAGAAGUCAAUGGCUACCAAACUGUGAGAAACAGGAAGCAGCGCUCUAGGCCUCACAAUCUAUACAGAAAAUGGAAGUUGAAUAUUAUGAGGAGAGACACACAUCAUUUCUGCUUAUAGUUCAUUGACGAGAAGUAGUUACAUGAUCUUACCUUACAGCAAGAGGCAGGGGCACGAUGGGAACAUACAUAGACACUUGAUGCUGAAUCACCAAAACAGAACAAAACAGGAAUACAAGAUUCCUUGUUAUGAUUUGGAUUCCUCAGAUCAGGCACACUUGGAUAAGACUUGAAUUCAAAACUGACAUGGCUGGAUGAGCGGUUUGGAGGUCAGCACCUGGGAUCUGAACCCGUGAACCCCAGGCUGCCAAAGAGGAGAGCAUGAAUUUAAACCACUGUAUUACCGGACCAGCCCGAAGUACAAUAUGUUUUAAAAGAACCACGAUAUGACCUUAUAUUGAACUUUAAAAAUAUCUGACGUUGUCUUUUCUAUGCCUAACAGAAAUUUUACCAUGAAUAAAAUAAUGACAUUCAUGGAAUGAG